GGCAGGGGAGUACCACCCCAAAAAAAGCUGAGCCGGCAGCGCCAGGAAAAGCGCGGCCGGCAACC
This is a regulatory RNA element of Rahnella aquatilis, 65 nucleotides long. It matches the Rfam family "DnaX ribosomal frameshifting element". From Rfam's summary of the family: This family represents a ribosomal frameshifting element found in the mRNA of the dnaX gene in E. coli. The dnaX gene has two encoded products tau and gamma which are produced in a 1:1 ratio. The gamma protein is synthesised due to programmed frameshifting and is shorter than tau. The record is from Rfam. NCBI's taxonomy places the organism in Bacteria, Pseudomonadati, Pseudomonadota, Gammaproteobacteria, Enterobacterales, Yersiniaceae.